Long non-coding RNA from Danio aesculapii, 826 nucleotides. RefSeq lists it as uncharacterized. The record is from RefSeq and is a predicted model, not a curated record. The transcript is spliced from 3 exons. NCBI's taxonomy places the organism in Eukaryota, Metazoa, Chordata, Actinopteri, Cypriniformes, Danionidae.
CAUCAUUGACUGAAACAAUCAUUUCAACUGCAAUACCUGCUCAUUUGAAAUUUCACACAGGCCUUUAUUGCACAGGCACAUCGACACAUGCAGACUCUCUCUGUGUCAGUCAGAGGAGGGGUGUAAAGGUUAAAGUAAAGAUGUGAGAGAAAUAAAUAGUUUAUAUUAGAUUUGCUCACGCUAAUAAUUGCUUUUUUUAUUAUACCUGUUCCAGAUACAUCUGUUCUUGUAGGCAUAAUAAUUGGGGCUGUUCUGGUGAUUGGUGCAGUGUGUGGUUUGAUUUACUUUAUCAAAUGGAGAAAUAGAAAGGCAAACACGAAGAAAAAGCAGCCAGGGAUUUUAUAGAAAGUCAGAAGACGAGAUGAAGAAUCUGAUUGGAGAAAUCUUCAGCAUCAGUGUUUGUAUGCAAUGCAAUAUUUUAACCCAAAAAUAUUUCUGCUUUAUAAGCUUCUAUAAUUAUCUGGACACAUACGAGCUUGUGCUGUUUGAAGCGUUUAGCAUAAAUCAGUUACGCUGAAUUAAUAAGCAUGUACCUGACUGUUUUAUCAGAUUUGGACGUAUUUAACCACCUGUUACUAUAAGCACUGAAAGUGGUGUAAUUGAAGCUGGUAAAUGGCCUUUACACACUGUAGGUGCGGUUAAAGUUUGAUGCCUUUCAUUUUGGAUUGCUGCUGUCAUUUUGGAUUAACGUGUGUCAUUGUAAAAAACAUUUUAUAAAUGCUUAUGACAGCUGUUAUUAAGUGUCAUUUGCUCAGUUGUGACAUUUAAAUGAAAAGAUGACAUUGUUUGUUAUGACAACUUGACAUUAAAAAUACAUUGCAACCUG